Molecule: long non-coding RNA, 252 nt
Filed under: Lathyrus oleraceus (garden pea)
Lineage: Eukaryota; Viridiplantae; Streptophyta; Magnoliopsida; Fabales; Fabaceae
Description: Pisum sativum (pea) long non-coding RNA (PSAT_LNC002658)
Source: RNAcentral
AAACAAACAACCAACAGAUCUAUAUGCAUCAGCAACCAUGAAUCAACAUGAGGUUUUUUUCAAAAAAAUCUAAAGGUACAAACACCACGUAAGAGAUUCAAGCCAGAAUAUAUGAACGAGCUACGGAUUCUCCGAGGCACAAAUCAUGUUGAACAAGGGAAAAGGUCACGCAUACACUCAAUAGCACCAACCAAAAGCGGAAAAAAAACAAGGAAUAGAGGUCAAGCAUUUACCACUUUGAGACACUGCAAG